AUUGAACGCUGGCGGCAGGCCUAACACAUGCAAGUCGAGCGGAUGAAGGGAGCUUGCUCCUGGAUUCAGCGGCGGACGGGUUAGUAAUGCCUAGGAAUCUGCCUGGUAGUGGGGGAUAACGUCCGGAAACGGGCGCUAAUACCGCAUACGUCCUGAGGGAGAAAGUGGGGGAUCUUCGGACCUCACGCUAUCAGAUGAGCCUAGGUCGGAUUAGCUAGUUGGUGGGGUAAAGGCCUACCAAGGCGACGAUCCGUAACUGGUCUGAGAGGAUGAUCAGUCACACUGGAACUGAGACACGGUCCAGACUCCUACGGGAGGCAGCAGUGGGGAAUAUUGGACAAAGGGCGAAAGCCUGAUCCAGCCAUGCCGCGUGUGUGAAGAAGGUCUUCGGAUUGUAAAGCACUUUAAGUUGGGAGGAAGGGCAGUAAGUUAAUACCUUGCUGUUUUGACGUUACCAACAGAAUAAGCACCGGCUAACUUCGUG
This 484-nucleotide ribosomal RNA is filed under the name uncultured bacterium. Its description in RNAcentral is "partial 16S ribosomal RNA". It matches the Rfam family "Bacterial small subunit ribosomal RNA", at positions 30 to 507 of the family's 1533-position model. The record is from RNAcentral.